RNAcentral lists this ribosomal RNA (421 nucleotides) under uncultured bacterium. Its description in RNAcentral is "bacterial SSU rRNA". It matches the Rfam family "Bacterial small subunit ribosomal RNA", at positions 355 to 774 of the family's 1533-position model. The record is from RNAcentral.
UAAGGAAUAUUGGUCAAUGGACGCAAGUCUGAACCAGCCAUGCCGCGUGAAGGAUGAAGGUCCUCUGGAUUGUAGACUUCUUUUAUCUGGGACGAAAACGGGAUUUUUAUCUCAAUUGACGGUACCAGAGGAAUAAGCACCGGCUAACUCCGUGCCAGCAGCCGCGGUAAUACGGAGGGUGCGAGCGUUAUCCGGAUUUACUGGGUUUAAAGGGAGCGUAGGUGGGCUUAUAAGUCAGUGGUGAAAUCUCCGAGCUUAACUUGGAAACUGCCGUUGAUACUAUAGGUCUUGAAUUAUCUGGAGGUCAGCGGAAUAUGCCAUGUAGCGGUGAAAUGCUUAGAUAUGACAUAGAACACCAAUUGCGAAGGCAGCUUACUACAUAUAAAUUGACGCUGAGGCACGAAAGCGUGGGGAUCAAACA